Molecule: ribosomal RNA, 477 nt
Filed under: Cladosporium cladosporioides
Lineage: Eukaryota; Fungi; Ascomycota; Dothideomycetes; Cladosporiales; Cladosporiaceae
Description: eukaryotic LSU rRNA
Rfam family: 5.8S ribosomal RNA (bases 124-277)
Source: RNAcentral
UAACCCUUUGUUGUCCGACUCUGUUGCCUCCGGGGCGACCCUGCCUUCGGGCGGGGGCUCCGGGUGGACACUUCAAACUCUUGCGUAACUUUGCAGUCUGAGUAAACUUAAUUAAUAAAUUAAAACUUUUAACAACGGAUCUCUUGGUUCUGGCAUCGAUGAAGAACGCAGCGAAAUGCGAUAAGUAAUGUGAAUUGCAGAAUUCAGUGAAUCAUCGAAUCUUUGAACGCACAUUGCGCCCCCUGGUAUUCCGGGGGGCAUGCCUGUUCGAGCGUCAUUUCACCACUCAAGCCUCGCUUGGUAUUGGGCAACGCGGUCCGCCGCGUGCCUCAAAUCGACCGGCUGGGUCUUCUGUCCCCUAAGCGUUGUGGAAACUAUUCGCUAAAGGGUGCUCGGGAGGCUACGCCGUAAAACAAACCCAUUUCUAAGGUUGACCUCGGAUCAGGUAGGGAUACCCGCUGAACUUAAGCAUAUCAA